GGACGAACGCUGGCGGCGUGCUUAACACAUGCAAGUCGAGCGGUAAGGCCCUUUCGGGGGUACACGAGCGGCGAACGGGUGAGUAACACGUGGGUGACCUGCCCUUAGCUCUGGGAUAAGCCUGGGAAACUGGGUCUAAUACCGGAUAUGACUCCAUGACGCAUGUUGUGGGGUGGAAAGCCUUGUGCGGCUAGGGAUGGGCCUGCGGCCUAUCAGCUUGUUGGUGGGGUGAUGGCCUACCAAGGCGACGACGGGUAGCCGGCCUGAGAGGGCGACCGGCCACACUGGGACUGAGACACGGCCCAGACUCCUACGGGAGGCAGCAGUGGGGAAUCUUGCGGCAAUGGGCGAAAGCCUGACGCAGCGGCGCCGCGUGGGGAUGACGGCCUGGUGUAACGUACUUCUA
This 406-nucleotide ribosomal RNA is filed under the name uncultured bacterium. RNAcentral's name for it is "bacterial SSU rRNA". It matches the Rfam family "Bacterial small subunit ribosomal RNA", at positions 27 to 438 of the family's 1533-position model. The record is from RNAcentral.